Molecule: ribosomal RNA, 237 nt
Filed under: uncultured Candidatus Saccharibacteria bacterium
Lineage: Bacteria; Candidatus Saccharimonadota
Description: partial 16S ribosomal RNA
Rfam family: Bacterial small subunit ribosomal RNA
Source: RNAcentral
AUAAGUGAAUAGUGAAAUCUGGUGGCUCAACCAUACAGGCUAUUAUUCAAACUGUACAACUCGAGAGUGGUAGAGGUCACUGGAAUUUCUAGUGUAGGAGUGAAAUCCGUAGAUAUUAGAAGGAACACCAAUGGCGUAGGCAGGUUACUGGACCAUUUCUGACGCUAAGGCACGAAAGCGUGGGGAGCGAACUGGAUUAGAUACCCAGGUAGUCCACGCCGUAAACGAUGGAUACUA